Molecule: unclassified non-coding RNA, 670 nt
Filed under: Hevea brasiliensis (rubber tree)
Lineage: Eukaryota; Viridiplantae; Streptophyta; Magnoliopsida; Malpighiales; Euphorbiaceae
Source: RNAcentral
UUCUCUCCAAUCAAGAUUCACAUUAACCAUUUCCCCUGCACUUACAGCUUUCUUCAACUUCUCCGCAAAGUUCUUUUCAAUGAGGGCAGAUGGUAUUGUUAUGUUUUCAAUGUAUUUUGCAGAAGAACCAUCUGCUUCAGGCGAGUCCAUGGUUAUCAAUCUUUCAUCGACAUCAUCAGCAACUAGAACUGCAGCAGCACCCGCAUUUUGUGCAUUCCAGACCUUCAGAGCAAAAAAGCAAUCUCCGCGAUCGACGAGAACAAAAGUGGGCAUAGCACCAGACUUAGACUUAAAAGAAGUCCCAGAAUCCUCAAAAUUUCGACACCCCUUUCGAUUUUCCUUUGGAUAAACCACAGUCCCAGGAAUACUACCUCCAUAUUGUGGAAUCCCAAAGUUUCCAAUUGCACUAUCGUAAGUGCCUUUAAUAUCAUCAGGUGAAACGACCCUUAAGCUGUUUUUUUCCACCACGAAACGACCCACUACUGAUUGAAACAGGUUCAGCCAAAGAAACCCUAGAAAGAUUGUAGCUUUUGAAGUCUUAGAAACCCCCAUUUUCUUGAAAAUCCAAGAAAUGGAAGGAGGGUAAAAGGGAAAAUCUUGAACCGUACUCGUUAAUAGAGGAAACUUCUGGGUUUCUUUCUUGUUUUGUUUUUGUGAGCCUUUCGUGUCG